Molecule: non-coding RNA, 417 nt
Organism: Erinaceus europaeus (western European hedgehog)
Lineage: Eukaryota; Metazoa; Chordata; Mammalia; Eulipotyphla; Erinaceidae
Source: the annotation of a RefSeq genome assembly
AAGAACUGAGAGCAUUGUUUAGGUGACACUCUAGAGAUGAAUUCUUCUCCAAGCUUAGUGGCUGUGGUACUGUUAGUGCUUGGACAAGUACGUGGUGACUCAGUGACCCAGAUGGGAGGCCAACUGACCGUCUCAGAAAAAGCUUCCUUGACUGUGAACUGUACUUAUUCAGCCUUGGGAUACCUUGUGCUUUUCUGGUACAUGCAGUAUCCUGGAGAAGGUCUGCAGUUACUCCUAAAAGCCCAGACAGACAAAGCAAAGGGAACAAACAAAGGUUUUGAAGCUACAUAUGAUAAAGAAACUUCCUCCUUCCACUUGAAGAAAGUCUCAGUCCAAGAAUCGGAUUCAGCUGUGUACUACUGUGCUAUGAGUGACACGGUGACAGGAACUGCAGGGGAAGCUGAACUCAAACUCUGA